RNAcentral lists this ribosomal RNA (254 nucleotides) under uncultured bacterium. RNAcentral's name for it is "partial 16S ribosomal RNA". It matches the Rfam family "Bacterial small subunit ribosomal RNA", at positions 524 to 776 of the family's 1533-position model. The record is from RNAcentral.
UACGGGGGGAGCAAGCGUUGUUCGGAUUUACUGGGCGUAAAGGGCGCGUAGGCGGCCACUGCAAGUCAGUUGUGAAAUCUCCGGGCUUAACCCGGAAAGGUCAACUGAUACUGCAGGGCUAGAGUGCAGAAGGGGCAACUGGAAUUCUCGGUGUAGCGGUGAAAUGCGUAGAUAUCGAGAGGAACACCUGCGGCGAAGGCGGGUUGCUGGGCUGACACUGACGCUGAUGUGCGAAAGCCAGGGGAGCGAGCGGG